This 437-nucleotide unclassified non-coding RNA is filed under the name Hevea brasiliensis (rubber tree). The record is from RNAcentral. Lineage: Eukaryota; Viridiplantae; Streptophyta; Magnoliopsida; Malpighiales; Euphorbiaceae.
GUUUAGGCUGCUGGAGUUACAAAUAUGUCUUCACAUCCAAAGCUUCAAAGUGCAAUGAAUCACAUUAAUUCAAGACUUUGUCACCCACAUGUUGUGCUUGCAGGCGUAGUAUACUCGUAUGUGAAAGUGUACCAUACUUUAUAUCAUAAGCAAGAAAUCUAAAGAAGAUACCUCUCAGGCAAACAAGGACAGAAGAGUGGUGGGAAGUUGGCUUUUUAUUAUUAUUUUAUAGGGUAAAAUUAGGAAUAUUGGAUAAGUAGAUGAAAAGUGUUGGCAUUUCUCAUCUCUUGUCUGUUCCCUAACUUUAAUAAGCAUUAUUAUACAGAACAAAAAUAGAAGUGAGUGAUGAUUUUCAGAGAUGAGCGGCAGCCUCUCUUUAUUCUUAUUCUUUCUUCGCACGAAAAGGCUGUGUUCACACCAAGAAGACCUUAAAGGAG